Small nucleolar RNA from Hucho hucho (huchen), 138 nucleotides. The record is from Ensembl. NCBI's taxonomy places the organism in Eukaryota, Metazoa, Chordata, Actinopteri, Salmoniformes, Salmonidae.
GCAUGGAUGAAUUCUGUGUUACUUUGUCUUUAGUGAAUGCAGUCAGACACCAUGCAAAAACAUUUUCCCUUCUACUACUCCAAAAAGGAUGAGUGCUUCCCAGUGCCUCAUCUCCUUCACAUCAAAGGGAAUACAAUU